AAACGGUUGGCAGAAAAAUGCAAUUGACUUAGGAUCAGUAUAUGAAGUUUUAUCCUUCACCUUUUA
This 66-nucleotide transfer RNA is filed under the name Levensteiniella iris. RNAcentral describes it as "tRNA-Leu". It matches the Rfam family "tRNA". Rfam says of the family: Transfer RNA (tRNA) molecules are approximately 80 nucleotides in length. Their secondary structure includes four short double-helical elements and three loops (D, anti-codon, and T loops). Lineage: Eukaryota; Metazoa; Annelida; Polychaeta; Phyllodocida; Polynoidae. The record is from RNAcentral.